Molecule: ribosomal RNA, 254 nt
Filed under: uncultured bacterium
Lineage: Bacteria
Description: partial 16S ribosomal RNA
Rfam family: Bacterial small subunit ribosomal RNA
Source: RNAcentral
UACGGGGGGAGCAAGCGUUGUUCGGAUUUACUGGGCGUAAAGGGCGCGUAGGCGGCCAGCACAAGUCAGUUGUGAAAUCUCCGGGCUUAACUCGGAAAGGUCAACUGAUACUGUGCGGCUAGAGUGCAGAAGGGGCAACUGGAAUUCUCGGUGUAGCGGUGAAAUGCGUAGAUAUCGAGAGGAACACCUGCGGCGAAGGCGGGUUGCUGGGCUGACACUGACGCUGAUGCGCGACAGCAUGGGGAGCAAACAGG